AGGAUCAUUUGCAAUGGGCGAAAGCCUGACAAUGCGACGCUGCGUGGAGGAUGAAGGCCUUCGGGUUGUAAACUCCUGUCAUGGGGGAACAGGCGAGGGGAGUUAAUACCUCCCUUAGUUGAGUGUACCCCAAGAGGAAUUGGCGGCUAACUCUGUGCCAGCAGCCGCGGUAAUACAGAGGCCAAGAGCGUUGUUCGGAUUUACUGGGCGUAAAGGGCGCGUAGGCGGCAUGGCGUGUCAAGUGUGAAAUCUCCGGGCCCAACCCGGAAAGUGCGCUUGAAACUACCAUGCUUGGAGUCCGGGAGGGGGAAUCGGAAUACAGGGUGUAGCGGUGAAAUGCGUUGAUAUCCUGUAGAACACCGGAGGCGAAGGCGGAUUCCUUGAACGGUACUGACGCUGAGGCGCGAAAGUCGGGGGAGCAAACA
RNAcentral lists this ribosomal RNA (425 nucleotides) under uncultured bacterium. RNAcentral's name for it is "bacterial SSU rRNA". It matches the Rfam family "Bacterial small subunit ribosomal RNA", at positions 358 to 774 of the family's 1533-position model. The record is from RNAcentral.